AUUACACUGAAGCAAGAGCAGCUGCUGUGGCCUGUGGGUUCGUGGGCAAGCAAGCAGUAGUAGUCAUGCGUGCUUAUCAAAGGGGCGCUUACUGAAGAGUUCCUUGGCAUUCUGUCCACCUCCUCUCGCCGAUCUUGCAGAAAGUUUACCAGUUCUGUUGCAUUUUUUUUGGAGGUGGGCAUACUGCCAAUGGAGCUGUGUAGGCCUCCCUUUGUAAAGCCCACAUGACAUAAAUACGAGCUAUACGUUGGAUUUGA
RNAcentral lists this precursor RNA (257 nucleotides) under Zea mays. Its description in RNAcentral is "precursor miRNA zma-miR394a". The stretch from base 88 to 204 matches the Rfam family "MIR394 microRNA precursor family". The record is from RNAcentral. Lineage: Eukaryota; Viridiplantae; Streptophyta; Magnoliopsida; Poales; Poaceae.